GAGCAGGAACUGAUUGAGCGA
Molecule: unclassified non-coding RNA, 21 nt
Filed under: Mus musculus (house mouse)
Lineage: Eukaryota; Metazoa; Chordata; Mammalia; Rodentia; Muridae
Description: oocyte_clustered_small_RNA10008
Source: RNAcentral